GCUUAUGGCCACACCGCCUGGUUCACGUCCGAUCUCGUUUGAUCUCGGAAGCUAAAAUAGGUUGGGCCUGGUUAGUACUUGCAUGGGAGACUGCCUGGGAAUACAGGUGCUGUAAGCU
Molecule: ribosomal RNA, 118 nt
Filed under: Scophthalmus maximus (turbot)
Lineage: Eukaryota; Metazoa; Chordata; Actinopteri; Pleuronectiformes; Scophthalmidae
Source: RNAcentral